AGCUAAUACUUGCUUUAGCACUCUUGAUUAAGUUCUUGAGUGUGUACUUGUUAAGCCUUUUAAGAAAAAAGUUAUUAACUUAAGGAAUUAUAACAAAGAAGCAACACGUAAAUGGAUUUUCCAUUUUUUAGUGUGUAUCAAUCGAGUUUCUGACCUAUCAGCUUUUGAUGUUAGGGUAUUGGCCUAACAUGGCUAUGACGGGUAACGGGGAAUUAGAGUUCGAUUCCGGAGAGGGAGCCUGAGAAAUAGCUACCACAUCUAAGGAAGGCAGCAGGCGCGUAAAUUACCCAAUUCUAAAGAAGAGAGGUAGUGACAAGAAAUAACAAUACAAGGCCAAUCUGGCUUUGUAAUUGGAAUGAUGGGAAUUUAAAACCUUCCCAAAACUCAAUUGGAGGGCAAGUCUGGUGCCAGCAGCCGCGGUAAUUCCAGCUCCAAUAGCGUAUAUUAAAAUUGUUGCAGUUAAAACGCUCGUAGUUGAAUUUCAAAGAAUCGAUAUUUUAAGUAGCACUUUGUAGAUUAAUCCACAUAACUGAUACUACGUAUCGACUUUGUGCGCAUUUUUCUACUUAUGUGUUCUUUUAAUUAAAAUGAUUCUUUUUAAGAUCUUUCUUUUUUGCUUCGGCAUUUUAGGAGAUCUUGUUACUUUGAGUAAAUUAGAGUGUUCAAAGCAAACAGAUUAUAGCAUCUUUAUGCGUUUGAAUACUACAGCAUGGAAUAACAAAAUUGAACAAGUCAGAAUUUUGUUCUUUUUUCUUAUUUUGGCUUAGUUACGAUUAAUAGGAGUAGCUUGGGGGCAUUUGUAUUCAGAUGUCAGAGGUGAAAUUCUUAGAUUUUCUGGAGACAAACAACUGCGAAAGCAUUUGCCUAAAAUACUUCCAUUAAUCAAGAACGAAAGUUAAGGGAGUGAAGACGAUCAGAUACCGUCGUAAUCUUAACCAUAAACUAUGCCGACUAGGCUUUGGAUGAAAGAUUUUAAAAUAAGAGUUUUUUCUCUGAGGAGUUAAAACUCUUAGAUUGCUUCCUUCAGUGCCUUAUGAGAAAUCAAAGUCUUUGGGUUCUGGGGCGAGUAUUCGCGCAAGCGAGAAAGUUAAAAGAAUUGACGGAAGGGCACCACCAGGCGUGGAGCUUGCGGCUUAAUUUGACUCAACACGGGAAAACUCACUAGUUUAAGACAAGAGUAGGAUUGACAGAUUAAUAGCUCUUUCUUGAUUUCUUGGAUGGUGAUGCAUGGCCGUUUUUAGUUCGUGAAUAUGAUUUGUCUGGUUAAUUCCGAUAACGAACGAGAUCUUAACCUGCUAAUUAGCGGCAAAUACGAUAUAUUCUUAUGUGCAAUUGAAUAUAGUUGAUUUGCUUAUUUUGAAGAAAAUAUUGGGAUACGUAAAUGUAUCCCUUUCCCUUUUCUACUUAAUUUGCUUAUCAUACUAUUUCUUUUUUGCGUAAGAAUGUAUUUGCUUGAUUGUAAAGCUUCUUAGAGGAACGAUGUGUGUCUAACACAAG
Molecule: ribosomal RNA, 1497 nt
Filed under: Plasmodium inui
Lineage: Eukaryota; Apicomplexa; Aconoidasida; Haemosporida; Plasmodiidae
Description: SSU rRNA
Rfam family: Eukaryotic small subunit ribosomal RNA
Source: RNAcentral